This 72-nucleotide transfer RNA is filed under the name Camelus bactrianus (Bactrian camel). It matches the Rfam family "tRNA". Rfam says of the family: Transfer RNA (tRNA) molecules are approximately 80 nucleotides in length. Lineage: Eukaryota; Metazoa; Chordata; Mammalia; Artiodactyla; Camelidae. The record is from Rfam by way of RNAcentral. RNAcentral also lists the same sequence under 3 other names.
GAGGGUAUAGCUCAGUGGUAGAGCAGGUGCUUAGCAUGCACAAGGUCUUGGGUUCAGUCCCCAAUAAUUCCA